This 1634-nucleotide long non-coding RNA is filed under the name Marmota monax (woodchuck). The record is from RNAcentral. Lineage: Eukaryota; Metazoa; Chordata; Mammalia; Rodentia; Sciuridae.
GUUCAUAUUACAGAAGAGGAGAAAUCACCCCAUUGGAGAGUAGCUGGAACUCAUUGUCUCGGAGACUUUGCUAACUCCCCUGACAGCUGGGGUGGACAUCACCUGCCUUCUCUCCUUGAAAGCAGCAACUUCUCAAUCCCUAGGGUACAUAAACGAGAGAACUCACUAUGCAGGUAGAAGAGAGAAUAAAAUCCUGCAAGGAAAAUGAUUCCAAGGAUAUCAGAAGUGCCCUCUCAGAAACAAGUGCAAGCCAAGUAAUUGUGAUUUUCAUUUUUUAUAAUUAUGCACAAAUAAUCUCUAAUUGACAAUUCUUGUAACUGCACCUAUGGUGUAAGAGGGUGUGUGCUUGAAAAAGAAUCACAUGAACAGAAAAAAGCCCUGGGAAUAAACACUUUCAAGGUUCCUGUAUAUAACAUAACUCAAAUAUAAGCUUUGAUUAAUUAAAGAUGUACUUUGUAAACCUUAGGGCAAUGACUAAAACUUAAAAAGAACUUUAAGUAAUGAGCCAAUCGUGGAGAUAAAAUGGAAUCACAAAAACACCUAGUCCAAAAUCAGGCAGAAGAAGGAGGGGUAAAGAAUACAGAACAAAUGGGACAUGAAGAAACUCAUGAGCAAAAUGUUGGCUCUUACUGUAAAUCUAUGGAUAAUGACAUUAAAUAUAAAUGGUCUAAACACAAUGAUUAAAAGACAAAGACCGUCAGACUGAAGGAACAAGUGAAUGGGUUUCGGUUGGGACUGUGUGCUCUUUGCAAAGGUCGAUGCUAAACACUAAAACAAAAAAAUGGAACAUGAACGCUACUCUAAAGAAAGCUGAGGCGGCCACAUUAAUAUCUGAAAUGGACUUCAGAGCAAGCAAUAUGUCCAGGAAUAAAGAGAGGCAUUACGUUAUAUUAAUGGAUGUGAUUCAACCAAAGGACCUAAUAAUGCAGAGGGUACAGUGCUUCGAAAUAAUCAAAGCAAAAGUUGGCAGAAUAAAAUUUAAAUAGACAAAGCCACAACUCAGAGAUAUGAGCAUUCUCAGUAACUAAGAGAACAAACAUAUCAAUUGGAAUAUAUAGAAUCCUUUUGACCUUGAAUUAGGCAAAGACUGCUUAAAUGGGACACCAAAAACACAAUCAUUAAGAGAAAAGAUCAAUCAACUAGCUUCAUUAAAAUUUAAAAUCUAUGCUCCUCCAAAGAUGCUAUGGGAGAAAAUGUCUGUAAAACAAAACCUGAUAAAGAGCUUGCAGCCAUAAUAUACAAAGUACCCUCAAAGGUCAAUAAUAAGAAAAUAAACAACCAAUAAAAUAUGAGCAGAAUGUUUGAAAAACACAUUUCACCAAUAAUAAGAAGAGCAAUCAAACACAAAUAAGAAUAUUCACCACUGUCAGGAGUGAAGUUAAAAAUCUUAACAAAAUACCCGCUGCCCAUCUACCAAAAUCAAACAAAACAAAAUGAUAAUAUCAAGUGCCGAUGAAGAUACAAAACAGCUAUGACAUUUAUCCACAGCCUAGAAAGAAUGAAAAACGUUCAAACCACAUUUUAAAAUGAGUUUGCAGUGCAAUCACUAAACUGCCUAGAAAUUCCAAGAGAAAUGAAAACACAUUGAUGUUAAAAACAUGUUUGUGAAUGUUCACAGCACGUUUACUGUACCA